GCCUGGGUGGCGGAACUGGUAGACGCAAGGGACUUAAAAUCCCUCGGCUCUUGUGGCCGUGCCGGUUCGAUUCCGGCCCUAGGCACCA
RNAcentral lists this transfer RNA (88 nucleotides) under Desulfobacteraceae bacterium. Its description in RNAcentral is "tRNA-Leu". It matches the Rfam family "tRNA". Rfam says of the family: Transfer RNA (tRNA) molecules are approximately 80 nucleotides in length. Their secondary structure includes four short double-helical elements and three loops (D, anti-codon, and T loops). The record is from RNAcentral. Lineage: Bacteria; Pseudomonadati; Thermodesulfobacteriota; Desulfobacteria; Desulfobacterales; Desulfobacteraceae. RNAcentral also lists the same sequence under 1 other name.